AAAAGUUUAACGGCCGCGGUAUUUUGACCGUGCGAAGGUAGCGUAAUCACUUGUCUUUUAAAUGAAGACCUGUAUGAAUGGCAUAACGAGGGCUCAACUGUCUCCUUUUUCCAGUCAGUGAAAUUGACCUGCUCGUGCAGAGGCGAGCAUAAACCCAUAAGACGAGAAGACCCUAUGGAGCUUAAAACACAAGAUCAACUAUGCUAUCAAGCCUAUCACCCACGGAAAUAAUAGCUAAAAGCAUAAUAGCACCCUGAUCCUAAUGUUUUCGGUUGGGGCGACCACGGAGGACAAAAAAGCCUCCAUGUCGACGGGGGCACUGCCCCUAAAACCUAGGGCGACAGCCCAAAGCAACAGAACAUCUGACGAACAAUGACCCAGGCUAAAGCCUGAUCAACGAACCAAGUUACCCUAGGGAUAACAGCGCAAUCCUUUCUAAGAGUCCAUAUCGACGAAAGGGUUUACGACCUCGAUGUUGGAUCAGGACAUCCUAAUGGUGUAGCCGCUAUUAAGGG
RNAcentral lists this ribosomal RNA (515 nucleotides) under Acipenser sturio (sturgeon). RNAcentral's name for it is "partial 16S ribosomal RNA". It matches the Rfam family "Bacterial large subunit ribosomal RNA", at positions 1915 to 2571 of the family's 2925-position model. Lineage: Eukaryota; Metazoa; Chordata; Actinopteri; Acipenseriformes; Acipenseridae. The record is from RNAcentral.